CCCGGCACCCAGACUGACGUCACUUCCAGGUUACAAGACAUAAAAGCCUCCAUCUUGGCUAACUCAAACAGUUCAAUGGGGAACUCGAAUAAGCAACAUCGCUGUACCCAAGAUAAUCCUUUGCAGCUAGGAACAAUAUACGGGUGGCUGCCCCAAACCUUUUGAAAGUGUUGAAACUCGUUCUUUUACAGUGGUGUAGCCAGCAGGAUGGCCUCCUGGUGGAAUAGGAAGCUGAACCAACAAAAUGUCUCAACACAUCAUCGUAAUGGACCACCAAAGACCUAUCAGACGGAUGCUUCGGACACAGGUCUUGGUGUCGUGCUGUGUCGAUGGAGUGGAACACCCCGUGAUGUAUCUGAGUCGGAAACUGUUGGACCGAGAGACCAGAUCAAAUACAGGAAAACCUACCUGACCUGACGUCACUUCCUGUCCCGGCACUUAGACAGAUGACACUUUCUGUCCCGGCACCCAGACUGACGUCACUUUCUGUCCCGGCACCCAGACUGAUGUCACUUCCUGUCCCGGCACCCAGACUGACGUCACUUCCGGGUUACAAGACAUAAAAGCCUCCAUCUUGGCUAACUCAAACAGUUCAAUGUGAAACUUGAAUAAGCAACAUCACUGUACCUAUGAUAAUCCUUUGCAGCUAGGAACAAUA
Long non-coding RNA from Polypterus senegalus (gray bichir), 658 nucleotides. RefSeq lists it as uncharacterized. NCBI's taxonomy places the organism in Eukaryota, Metazoa, Chordata, Cladistia, Polypteriformes, Polypteridae. The record is from RefSeq and is a predicted model, not a curated record. The transcript has 3 exons.